Molecule: long non-coding RNA, 1687 nt
Organism: Cyanistes caeruleus (blue tit)
Lineage: Eukaryota; Metazoa; Chordata; Aves; Passeriformes; Paridae
Source: RefSeq, a predicted model, not a curated record
UUUUCAGCUCAUUUAGUCUAUUUUUUUUUGGUAACUUUCAGCAAACUUUUCCUGGUUUGUUUGUUUUUUCUUUUCAGGAAAAUACCGAGUUCGUUUAGGCUUGGCUUUAUCAUGUUUGUAGAACCAUGUCAGAGAAUCUUUGCAGUGCAAAUGAUUAGAAUUGGUCUCUAGUCAUGAGAGAUUAAAAACACUUGAAUCACAAGUGAUGGAUGCACGGUGCAAACACUGUUUUGAACCCAGAGCCUUCUGGGUUCAGCAGGAGUCCUUUUGCCUCAGUGCGGAAAUUUCUUAACUAACUUUGGCCAGAGGCACAGCAUCAUUUCACUACUGAAUCAACACUUUUUGUUGUCAAGAAAGGCUACCUGAAACCUGAAGGGUUUUUUCUUUGUGACUUCCAUAUAACCAAGAAGAAGAAGUUUCAUCUUAAUUUUUGAAUAUUUCAAGAUUUUGUGCUAAAGAUAUGGAUUACACCUUCUGUCAACAUGUGAAGUGACAUAAGAGACAGAAAAGCUAACAGCUAUGUCAUGGUCACUGAAGUUAAAGAUUUUUUGCUCUUGUGAUUUGAUAAAGGGGAAGAACUCUGAGACAGAAAAAAAUAGGUGGCUGUGAGAAAAAUACUUCAGUUGUAAAUGGAGAAAAUGUGAUAUGAAAUUCAUCAAGAGGUGGCGUUAAAGGGUUUCUGCAGGUCAGAUAUGGAUGGCUCUGCGGACUUUACAUACUUCACCCCAGGGCCCACAAGGUUCAGUGAAACUCAAAUCAGAACUCUGGAUGUUGUAGGCAUUCCUUGGAGAAAUUGUGCACUAGUUACGAAUCUGUGGUGCAUUGGCAGCUGUGUAAGCAAGGAAAAAAUCAGCCCUGCAAGCUUUGAAUCAAGACCAUUUUGAGAGGAAAACUUUGAUGACAUGGAAGAUACAAAAAAGGGUCAGAGGUGGAGAUAAAAGGGAACUUAUCUUCUUUCCCAAUUUAUUCAACUUUUCAUAAAUUACAGAAGAUAACCAACUAAGCAAGCUGCAGCAGAUGAGUUUAUUGCUGUAUCUGAAUGCUAAAGAGGAUGGUGACUUUGAAAAAAUGCUGUUUAUGGAGUGUAUUGACAGAGAUUUCAGAGGCAGAAUAUCUGGGUUUGUUGCUUCCCAAACCUUGCAAGUGCAAAUUCCUAUGCUCCCUGUGUUAAGAAGGCUUGACAGGUUCAGGUUUUUGUGGGUUUCUGUGCAAAGAAAUAUGAAGAACAUUAAAUAAAUCAAUUUAAUAUGAUCAGACUAUUUCUGCAGGACAGUCUCAACCCUCCAAGCAGCUCUGAUGGGCACAACCCUGGGAAGAACACUUAGGAUUUCAGGAAAGGACUAGAGCAGGAUCUCAGGAAGAGAGAAGCUAUAGGGCUGCAGAGAAGUUUUGGUCCAGUUUCUCUACCCAGAGGUGUCCAGGGUUUCCAGAAACAGAGUCACUCUCCUCUGUCCCCAGAAGGUCCCAUGUUCACUGCAACAGGAUUCAUACAACGUCUGUCAGAAAUGCACAGCAUGGAAAAAGAUCUUACAUUGAAAGCAGAACUCUAAAGGAAAGAAGAGUGAUACAGCUAUAUAUAUAUAUACAUCAGGCUAGAAAAAAAGCUUCACUUGGAGUGUGUCUGCUUGGGGUAAUCAGAGGAGAAAAACAGCAUGAACCUGGAAUGUUUGCACAAUGUAGUUCAAGC